Molecule: ribosomal RNA, 476 nt
Filed under: uncultured bacterium
Lineage: Bacteria
Description: bacterial SSU rRNA
Rfam family: Bacterial small subunit ribosomal RNA
Source: RNAcentral
AGGACGAACGCUGGCGGCGUGCCUAACACAUGCAAGUCGAGCGAGGAGAUCCUUCGGGAUGAUCCUAGCGGCGGACGGGUGAGUAACACGUGGGCAACCUGCCUCAUAGAGAGGAAUAGCCUUCCGAAAGGGAGAUUAAUACCUCAUAACAUUGCAGUUUCGCAUGGAACAGCAAUUAAAGGAGUAAUCCGCUAUGAGAUGGGCCCGCGGCGCAUUAGGCUAGUUGGUGAGGUAACGGCUCACCAAGGCGACGAUGCGUAGCCGACCUGAGAGGGUGAUCGGCCACAUUGGGACUGAGACACGGCCCAGACUCCUACGGGAGGCAGCAGUGGGGAAUAUUGCACAAUGGGGGAAACCCUGAUGCAAGCAACGCCGCGUGAGUGAUGACGGCCUUCGGGUUGUAAAGCUCUGUCUUCAGGGACGAUAAUGACGGUACCUGAGGAGGAAGCCACGGCUAACUACGUGCCAGCCGCAGC